This 508-nucleotide ribosomal RNA is filed under the name uncultured bacterium. RNAcentral's name for it is "bacterial SSU rRNA". It matches the Rfam family "Bacterial small subunit ribosomal RNA", at positions 28 to 526 of the family's 1533-position model. The record is from RNAcentral.
GAUGAACGCUAGCUACAGGCUUAACACAUGCAAGUCGAGGGGCAGCAUAAAAUCAGCUUGCUGAUUUGAUGGCGACCGGCGCACGGGUGAGUAACACGUAUCCAACCUGGCCUUUACUCAGGGAUAGCCUUUCGAAAGAAAGAUUAAUACCUGAUAGCAUAAAUUGACCGCAUGGUUGAUUUAUUAAAGAUUUAUUGGUAAAGGAUGGGGAUGCGUUCCAUUAGCUUGUUGGUAAGGUAACGGCUUACCAAGGCAUCGAUGGAUAGGGGUUCUGAGAGGAAGGUCCCCCACAGUGGAACGGAGACACGGUCCAGACUCCUACGGGAGGCAGCAGUGAGGAAUAUUGGUCAAUGGGCGGAAGCCUGAACCAGCCAAGUAGCGUGAAGGAUGACUGCCCUAUGGGUUGUAAACUUCUUUUAUAAGGGAAUAAAACGUCUUACGUGUAAGAUUUUGUAUGUACCUUAUGAAUAAGCAUCGGCUAACUCCGUGCCAGCCGCCGCGGUAACAC